CAGCUAAUGUACAGUAAUGUAUUUUGGAUGUUUGGGGCAAAUAAACACAAAUGAUCCCGCGGUCAAACUUGCAGGAGUAAUGCAAGGGGAAAAUUCAUUUUGCGCUUGGUGUGAACACAAUUUAAACUUUUACAGACAUAUGAUUCUUGUAGGUCUCUGAUGAUACCAAUGCUAAAGCCCUGAGACAGACCAGUGAUCAGAUGGUCUGUAAACACGAGGCCCGGAUGAUGAUUUGUCAGAGCGUGGGCAUUGAUUGGAGUGGAUGGAUGAUUUUUUUAGGAGGUUUUGAAACCAACUUCAAUUCCCUUCUGAGAUGGAUCUGGCCGGGAUGGGACUCUUGGGCAGAUUGAUUUUGAUUGUGCAUCACUUCAUGUGCUACAGAUGUAGAGGAAACUGCAAAAGGGAUGACCUCACUCUCGCUCCGGAUCUCAGCCCGUCUCACUGAUAUCUAAAAAUGGAUGAUGGAACGCCGCCUUCAACUCUCUCUAACACUGAACUCUUGGUGAUCCCAGCCGGUCCCUCUAUUCAUUCACAUUUACAUAUUCAUAUCCACAGCAUUAAUGUCCAGUUCAGCUCCUUUAAAUUCAAGAAAGAAGAAGAAGACGCAAGAAAUCUGGGCAUUGUGACUGAUGAACAGCUAACUUUCUCUCAACAUGUUGCAUGUGUCAAGUUGCUUCACACUGUGUAACAUCAGAACGAUGUUAGUUUUGAACAAACCUGAAGACUGGCUGGAUUCUACAAAGACUGGGCAAACCACAAAUAGAGAUUGUUUCCACCAACUUACAUUAACAACUCACAUUUUCUCAAGUGCAUGCAUUACGCUUCUGUAAAUUCUCACUUGUGUUACCAAAACAAACAUGGAUGGCAACCAGUAGUUUGCACUGUUUGUAUGCAGUGCAUAUUGCACUGACAUGGCAAAAAAAAGGAAGAAAAAAGCACAGAACUUGGGAUGAGACCUUGGAUGGAGAGGCAUGGGUAAUGCGGACUGUAGAGCCGACGGAGGGAAUUGGAAGUGAGUGAACUGGAAUCCAGCAUUGCUGUGAAUCCAAGCUGAUUAGAGCUGCCGUCCUCCACAAAAGAGCAAACUACAAACCUUUCAUUUUCACUUGUGUUUGAAUAUUAAGAUUUUCAAUGGAUUAAUCAUUUUCUAAAUAGUUGUGUGAUCACAGAGUUAUAUACAAAUUUUCAAUGUGAGGCUGGUGCAUUGUAGCUCAUUUUUAACUUAAUAGUUCUGCAGGGAGAAUAAUGGCUACUUGGUGAAUACCUGUCUUGCCUUUUAAAGUAGAGGCAGACUUGUCAGGGGGCCGUCAAAAGGAAUUUUGCACAGGUGAAUGUUUGUCACGUCCAUGACUGUGAAAAAGCAAUUUCUAACAUUAAAAGAUUUUGUGCUCGUUCA
This is a long non-coding RNA of Thunnus maccoyii (southern bluefin tuna), 1396 nucleotides long. RefSeq lists it as uncharacterized. The transcript has 2 exons. The record is from RefSeq and is a predicted model, not a curated record. Lineage: Eukaryota; Metazoa; Chordata; Actinopteri; Scombriformes; Scombridae.